This 431-nucleotide long non-coding RNA is filed under the name Nicotiana benthamiana. RNAcentral's name for it is "long non-coding RNA (NBEN_LNC034857)". The record is from RNAcentral. Lineage: Eukaryota; Viridiplantae; Streptophyta; Magnoliopsida; Solanales; Solanaceae.
UUGCAACUUUUUCACUCCUUUCAUUUUACCUUCUUCUUCUUCUUCUUUGUGCAGCACCUUGCUUUCUCCAUACCAAUCUCUUUCCAACUAAUCUUUCCUCAAAGAGAGAGGAGUGUUUUAGAGAUUAGCUCGUCAAAAGAAAAGGAGCAGUUAGUUAGAAGAGUUUCUUCUUUCAUUUUUAUCGAUUUUUUAUUAUUCGAUGUCAUUGGUUCAAGUGAAAAGAUGACAAACAAAGCAUAAUAUGGGCAAGAAAAAAAGUAAGUCCUCGUAUUGAAUACAUGAAAUUGAAUUCCUGAUUCUUAAUUAAUUAUUAAAGUUUCUUAAUGGGUGGAUUUGAUUAGUUUUUUCUCUGUUUCUUCAUGAUGAACAUAUAAAUAUUUAGUUCUAUAUUUUUAGAGACUAUUGAUUUAAAAUGUUCUUUUGCGUCUAAA